This is a long non-coding RNA of Perca flavescens (yellow perch), 896 nucleotides long. RefSeq lists it as uncharacterized. The record is from RefSeq and is a predicted model, not a curated record. The transcript has 2 exons. NCBI's taxonomy places the organism in Eukaryota, Metazoa, Chordata, Actinopteri, Perciformes, Percidae.
AGUCGCGAUGAAAGGAGACACAGGAGGAAAGAGGUCAAAACCGAUUAACAUCUAUCAAGAAAUGAAAUUAUAACGAAAGCACAGUGCUAGCAUAGUUGCAGUGUUGAUUUUGAGAUGAUAAAAAUCAGGUUGAAGAACGUUAUUUCGCCAACUAUACAAUGUUACUUAGGGUCUGAUGUUUGUUCUGUGUAAAGUAGGCUACAAAAGCUAAUAUUGAUUCAACGUCUGUCAAGGAAAACAUUGUUACUUUGAAUCUUACAGAAAUGAAGAGGAAAGGUAGUAUAUUCAGUUUUUGUCUCCAAAGAGAAAGGCGAGAGAAAUAGAAAAUGAACAAGUGAGCAAGGUAGACGGAGAAGAUGAGGUGGAAGGAGAGAGAAAAGAGGUGAAAGGAGAGAGAAAAUGGCAACAGAAACGUGACAGAGACAGAAUACAAGGCCAAGGCGACCAGGGACAGGAGGAGGUGGGAGAAGACCACAGAGAGCAUCACCAAGAUGAGGAGGGAGAAAGCGAGAGACAAGAGAACGUGCAGGGCUCAGACAGUGAAAGGGAAAGCAGAGGGCCUGGGCCAUCACCAACCAUCUCCAGUCGAGCUGGUCCACAAGUUGCUGAGAGCCGAAGGUGGUGGUGCUGGUGUCCGGGUGGUGGUAUCCUCUUCCUGUGUGCUGUGUUGUCUACCCUGUUUUCUUUGCUGUGUUCACUGUUAUGUGUUUGUGUGUGUUCAUGGGUGACUCUCCCUGGGAUCCCUCACUGCUUUCGUGACCCCCUUGUAAGGCUUACCAGUCGAGAAGAAGGCAGCAAUUAUAAUUUUCCCCCUGUUCCCUUCCCCAAGCUAUGAAUGUGUUUUAAAUUGUUUUAAAAUUAUUGAAAUAAAAUUUGUUGUUCCUUUUAAAAUUGAA